GCAACAACAACAACAAAUAUGGCGGAAUCUGUAUUGUCAAACACGGAAGAAGAAGGAUACAACCAUAAUUAAACCAAGAAGUUUAUGAAGAAGGGAUCACUGGAUUUUGUCACUUUGGUACAAGAAACAGAAAAGGAUAUCAUAGACCACCUUACUUAUACGGAAGCAUAGGAGCUGUUGAAGGAAAUUGCUGCCAGACAGUCAGCAGUUAUCACUGACAGCCUGUCCUGGCCCAGCUUGGACCAUCCUCAAGCUAACCAUGAUGGUGUGUUUGCAAGAAUUGUCCAUUUGGUAGACCAUGAUGAAGACCAGCUUUGUUGUGGCAUGGCCUGACAAUACUGUACAAGCCAGAGACCAAAAAAGGGUUAAGUGGUGACUGAUCCUCUCACCCUCCUUAUCCAGGAAACAUUUCGGAACAACGUGUUGGCACUGAAGAUGUGGAGGACACAGAUUGAUCACAGUACAUCCUUUGGAUACAUGGACACCUUCAACGUGACGACAACAAAACUGUACCUGCCUUUUUUUGAAAGGAAGUAGUUAAUAAAAUUAUUGUUAACAGCUUUUUUAGUCUUGUUGUUUAAGAAUGCUUGCAACAUUUAAGUGGAUAAACGGUUGUUUUAAAUUUGAAUCUUCAGUAAUGCAUUCUUUAUUAAAUGAUGUAAUCUUAUUUCUAUCAAUA
Long non-coding RNA from Dreissena polymorpha, 679 nucleotides. RefSeq lists it as uncharacterized. The record is from RefSeq and is a predicted model, not a curated record. NCBI's taxonomy places the organism in Eukaryota, Metazoa, Mollusca, Bivalvia, Myida, Dreissenidae. The transcript is spliced from 4 exons.